UGGGGAAUAUUGCACAAUGGGGGAAACCCUGAUGCAGCGACGCCGCGUGAGCGAAGAAGGUUUUCGAAUCGUAAAGCUCUGUCCUAUGAGAAGAUAAUGACGGUAUCAUAGGAGGAAGCCCCGGCUAAAUACGUGCCAGCAGCCGCGGUAAUACGUAUGGGGCGAGCGUUGUCCGGAAUUAUUGGGCGUAAAGGGUACGUAGGCGGUCUAUUAAGUCAGGUGUGAAAGCGUGAGGCUUAACCUCAUUAAGCACUUGAAACUGAUAGACUUGAGUGAAGGAGAGGAAAGUGGAAUUCCUAGUGUAGCGAUGAAAUGCGUAGAUAUUAGGAGGAAUACCGGUGGCGAAGGCGACUUUCUGGACUUUUACUGACGCUCAGGUACGAAAGCGUGGGGAGCAAACAGG
Molecule: ribosomal RNA, 403 nt
Filed under: Verrucomicrobiota bacterium
Lineage: Bacteria; Pseudomonadati; Verrucomicrobiota
Description: Verrucomicrobia bacterium partial 16S ribosomal RNA
Rfam family: Bacterial small subunit ribosomal RNA
Source: RNAcentral